Long non-coding RNA from Pogoniulus pusillus (Red-fronted tinkerbird), 3244 nucleotides. RefSeq lists it as uncharacterized. The transcript is spliced from 4 exons. The record is from RefSeq and is a predicted model, not a curated record. NCBI's taxonomy places the organism in Eukaryota, Metazoa, Chordata, Aves, Piciformes, Lybiidae.
CAACUGGGCAGAGGAAUCCUCCUCCUGUCAUCACUGGCUGAGCUCCUCUAUGGUUUGCUGCUUUGUUCUUCUUCUUCACUCAUGAUGAGCUUAAGUACAUGGCAGAACUGGAAGCUCAUGGAAGCCAAGUCUGAACAAAUUCCAUGGACUCUUCUUAAGGGAUUGAGGUCUUCACAUCAAGGUUCUUGCUACAGUACAGAGAAAGGGAAGGGCUGGAGGAGCAAACAGAGCAUCAGCCACAGGCUUCCCUAGGCACUGCCUGACAGCACUUCAGCAGAGAGCAUCCCUGGACUCUGCACAGCUCCAGCAGCCCAGCCACUGUGGAACAAAAGCUAAGCAGCAGCAGUUGGCUGGCUCUGGUCACUAUUAAAAAGUCCCUCUGCAGGCCACAGAGAUGGAUUUUAUUGGCUGUGAGUGUCCAUUGGUCACGCACUGAGAGCUCUCUUGCAAGCCUUGAUAAAUAUAGAAGGGUGAGUAACAGUACAGAAAUGCUAGCAGCUUGUAUUGAGACUGACCAUCUUCCUAUCUAGAAAGGGAAAUGUUCAGAGCUGUUUAUUCAUUACAUGGAGAGCUUUGGCUUGAAUCACAUGCCCAUGAGGCAUUAAUUUCACAUCCCAAGGUUUCCCAAAGCAAACGUUCAGCAUCCUAGUGAAGGCAUGAUUAAGGGUCUCUUAAAAAUGAAGGAUACCUGUGUCACUCUUUAGCACAAACACACCUAUCAGGAUGUGGUCUGAUUAAGAUGCUCUGAAGACUGAUCAAGUCCUUACACAGCUAAAAGCUUUAAGUGUGAAAACUGAGCCUCACUGUUUUAACAUGGUCCCCAGAUACCUGCAAUCUGUCCCUAGAUGCAGCUGUAAUGGCUUCCACAAUGGAUGCCAUCAGUUCCUGGCAGGUUUUGAGUGCUGAGAGUGUUUAAUUUCACUCACAGGAAAGUAUAUCGUUUAAGGUGGUUGUGCCAUUUUCUGAUGGACACCCAUAUAGGAUAAAAUCAAAGCAUUUCAGGUGAGCUCUGCCUUGAUGCUGAGGACUCAGAGUUCCAGUAACACCAUCCUUUAGUUUUUAAAAAAGAAAAAAUCCUCCUCCAAUUAAAAAGGAUUAAAUCUGUCAGUAAAAUCCUUGUAAAUCCAGUGCAUUGUCCAUGUGGGGAGCUGCAGGGGCAAGUAUUUUAAUCUGGGAAGGUAGCUUGGGCCAUGUCUAUAGUUCUCCUUACUAGUGUAUGCGAAGUCUCAAGUGACAGAAUAGGAACAAAUACACCCACAUCAGAAGCAGCUCUCCCUCCAUUGACUACAGGCUUUAAGUCAGCCUAUGUUUGGUUCAGCUCAUCUCUUACAAGAAGAUUGGGUGUUGCUGACAGUUCAUUUAUGCUUCUCUCCUAUGUGCAGAAAAUUCCCUCUUGCCAUAUGCAGGAACAUCCCUAUAGAAGUUAACAGAGACUGACCAAGAUCUCUGGUUCGUUUGAGCUCAUUUCCUCACAUCAUGGUACAGGGUCAUAAUUAACCCUUUGGUCUGCUGAAACAUGGAUUCUAGGCUGGACAUCAGUCCAAAACACCCCGGCAGGGAACUGUCAGAGCAUCUCUUCUUCCUGUGUCUCCCUGUUACCUUCAGUUCUCUAAGGCAAACGUUUCCAGCUUAGUGUUUGUGAUCUGUGGAGAGGUUAAAGCAAGCUAAUGCAAUCUGGUUCCAGUUCAGCAGAGCUUGUAAGCACACAGCUUAAUGUGAUUAGAGUCCCUGGGACUAUUGUGUGUUAUUAACUGUGUGCUUACAAAUUUUGCUAGCCUGGGAAAGGAUUUCCCAAUUUUGUAGAUCUCUAAUAGGCAGCAGGCUGUCUAGACAGUGCCCAAAACAAUCACUACCUUUUGUAGUUGCUUGGUGGAAGCCUUUCUUCCUCCUCGCAUUUUGCAAUGAGGCUCUGCCUGAUACUGCAAUGAACCCAAGAGCCCAGGAUCUGAAUACACAGGAUUCAGACAAGUUAUGCCACUGGAUCCUGAGGUCCCAAGCUCUUCAGUUUGCCAUCUCUGGUGAGAGAAGUUAUAGAGGAUGCUGUGCUGUGUUCCGUCUUGCAAGGGGCAACUGCAACAAAACACUUUAAGUCUGUGAGGAAAAUUGUUGCCUAUGUGUUUUUAUCAGAUGGCUCACUCACUUUUCUGAACCUCAUAAUGUCAAGACUGAAGAUGGCCAGUCCUCUGCUUCAGAGAUGUGAUCUGCUGAAGAACGGAUCUAGCUUUAUAUUAAUUUCUUGCACAAAAGAUGCUAGGGGACUGAGAAAGUUUGGUAAUGGAAGAGCAGUUCUUGUACCCUUCAAGGACAUUUCUUUAUGCUGAGCCCUAACAGUCCACUUGUUGGAUUCUUUUCAUCAGUGAUGCUUCAACAGCAGCACAAAUGCCUCCCCGUGGUUGCCUACAAUCACAUAUGUGAUUCUAUGAUUCUAUGUUGUCUCCAAUGAACAUCUGAAGUAACAAAGCACAAAGACAACCACAAUUCCUUAAAAUCAAUCACACCUUUUUAAUGGUAUGAAACCCUAAUGUCAGAUCCUCUCCAUGGAAAAUGAGAUUUCUUCUACGAGAAGAGGUAUUAACAUUAUAGAUUAAAAUAUACCAAAGUCAUAAAUCUCUGUCAAAAAAAAAACCCUGAUUGACCUUAGAUCAUAGAGCUGCUGUGCAAGAAUGCUUUCCUGUAAACUGGGGAAGAGAGUGUCAUAUAUAGUAUUUAAAAGUAUGAGCUAUAACAUUUGGGGCAAGGAAUGCAUUUUUUUCCCCCUAUCAGAAACUGAACAUUUCACUCUUUAUUCCCUGGUGGUUUGUGUGAUUUAGAAAGAGCAAUUGCAAUUAAAGGAAUGUAUGACCUUCUUUUGUCCUCUAAGGAGAUUAAUACAGUCCUCUGAUGUAAUGCAGCUGGGUGCAGCAAACAAAAUCUUGUAAGCCAUUUAUCUAAGUAUAAUGGUGUUGUAGUAAACCAAAGAGAACUUUCUCCAGGCAUUAGUUCUAUUGAUGGACACAGGAAUCACGUGAGAGUAUCAGAUGACCAGUAAUAAAACUCAUGUGGUUGAUUACAAAUAUUGAAAGAGUAGCAAACACUCUGUGGACAUUUUUUCUACCUCUUGGACAUUGUUUUCAGCUUAGGUUUUUCCAUGGUGUUGAGUUGUCUUGGUUCUUGAUGAAAAUAUCACUGAUGUUUCAUAGAUAUGAAAGGCUAUAAAGCUUAGUUCUCAGGUCAGCAAAAUACCUCCCAAAAUGUGUAAACUAGA